This 752-nucleotide ribosomal RNA is filed under the name uncultured Actinomyces sp. Its description in RNAcentral is "bacterial SSU rRNA". It matches the Rfam family "Bacterial small subunit ribosomal RNA", at positions 28 to 776 of the family's 1533-position model. The record is from RNAcentral. Lineage: Bacteria; Bacillati; Actinomycetota; Actinomycetes; Actinomycetales; Actinomycetaceae.
GACGAACGCUGGCGGCGUGCUUAACACAUGCAAGUCGAACGCUGAAGGCCCAGCUUGCUGGGUUGGAUGAGUGGCGAACGGGUGAGUAACACGUGAGUAACCUGCCCUCUUCUUUGGGAUAACGGUCGGAAACGGCUGCUAAUACCGGGUAUUCACUGUCCUUCGCAUGGGGGGUGGUGGAAAGGUUUUUUCUGGUGGGGGAUGGGCUCGCGGCCUAUCAGCUUGUUGGUGGGGUGAUGGCUUACCAAGGCUUUGACGGGUAACCGGCCUGAGAGGGUGACCGGUCACAUUGGGACUGAGAUACGGCCCAGACUCCUACGGGAGGCAGCAGUGGGGAAUAUUGCACAAUGGGCGAAAGCCUGAUGCAGCGACGCCGCGUGAGGGAUGGAGGCCUUCGGGUUGUAAACCUCUUUCGCUCAUGGUCAAGCCGCAACUGUGGUUGUGGUGAGGGUAGUGGGUAAAGAAGCACCGGCUAACUACGUGCCAGCAGCCGCGGUAAUACGUAGGGUGCGAGCGUUGUCCGGAAUUAUUGGGCGUAAAGGGCUUGUAGGCGGCUUGUCGCGUCUGCCGUGAAAUCCUCUGGCUUAACUGGGGGCGUGCGGUGGGUACGGGCAGGCUUGAGUGCGGUAGGGGAGACUGGAACUCCUGGUGUAGCGGUGGAAUGCGCAGAUAUCAGGAAGAACACCGGUGGCGAAGGCGGGUCUCUGGGCCGUUACUGACGCUGAGGAGCGAAAGCGUGGGGAGCGAACAGG